AGAAGAAGAAGACUUUAACCUGACCCGGGAUGAUUUUGAUGAGCUGGACAGGCUCGAUAAUCAGACUCGAAAUCUGACCUCGACAGCCAGUGAAGUCCCAGGACCUUCAAACACAGGCCGUCAGAAUCUAACAAGAAAUAGGUCAAUUAUCACGGAUUCUCUACAAGAGUUAUCCUCUCUCCGUACCAGGGUUUUUCCUCCAAAUCGAGAAGACACUCCAGGGACUUCUGGUUCUGCAGUAAGAGCUCGCU
Molecule: long non-coding RNA, 251 nt
Organism: Salarias fasciatus (jewelled blenny)
Lineage: Eukaryota; Metazoa; Chordata; Actinopteri; Blenniiformes; Blenniidae
Exons: 3
Source: RefSeq, a predicted model, not a curated record